GGAAGGGUGGCUGAGCGGUUGAAAGCACCGGUCUUGAAAACCGGCGUAUCAGCAAUGAUACCGUGGGUUCGAAUCCCACCCCUUCCGCCA
This 90-nucleotide transfer RNA is filed under the name Rhodospirillaceae bacterium. RNAcentral describes it as "tRNA-Ser". It matches the Rfam family "tRNA". Rfam says of the family: Transfer RNA (tRNA) molecules are approximately 80 nucleotides in length. The record is from RNAcentral. Lineage: Bacteria; Pseudomonadati; Pseudomonadota; Alphaproteobacteria; Rhodospirillales; Rhodospirillaceae.